CAAUAGCGUAUAUUAAAGUUGUUGCGGUAAAAAAGCUCGUAGUUGGAUUUCUACCGAAGAUAGACGGUCGGGUCUUCGACCUUGUAUCUGGUUUUGUCUUUGGUAUCCUCAUAGGGAACGUUUCUGCGCUUUAUUGCGUGGUGCGGUAUCUAUGACUUUUACUUUGAGGAAAUUAGAGUGUUCACGGCAGGCAAACGCCUUGAAUAUAUUAGCAUGGAAUAAUAACAUAGGAUCUUCGUCCUAUUUUGUUGGUUUCUAGGGCUAAGAUAAUGAUUAAUAGGGAUAAUUGGGGGCAUCUGUAUCAACGCGUCAGAGGUGGAAUUCUUGGAUUGCGUUGCGACAAACUACUGCGAAAGCAUUUGCCAAGGAUGUUUUCAUUGA
Molecule: ribosomal RNA, 381 nt
Filed under: uncultured eukaryote
Lineage: Eukaryota
Description: partial 18S ribosomal RNA
Rfam family: Eukaryotic small subunit ribosomal RNA
Source: RNAcentral